GAAAGCGUGGGUAGCGANCAGGAUUAGAUACCCUGGUAGUCCACGCCGUAAACGAUGAGUGCUAGGUGUUAGGCCCUUUCCGGGGCUUAGUGCCGGAGCUAACGCAAUAAGCACUCCGCCUGGGGAGUACGACCGCAAGGUUGAAACUCAAAGGAAUUGACGGGGGCCCGCACAAGCGGUGGAGCAUGUGGUUUAAUUCGAAGCAACGCGAAGAACCUUGCCAGGUCUUGACAUCCCGAUGCUAUUCUUAGAGAUAGGAAGUUACUUCGGUACAUCGGAGACAGGUGGUGCAUGGUUGUCGUCAGCUCGUGUCGUGAGAUGUUGGGUUAAGUCCCGCAACGAGCGCAACCCUUAUUGUUAGUUGCCAUCAUUAAGUUGGGCACUCUAGCGAGACUGCCGGUAAUAAACCGGAGGAAGGUGGGGAUGACGUCAAAUCAUCAUGCCCCUUAUGACCUGGGCUACACACGUGCUACAAUGGUCGGUACAACGAGUUGCGAGCCGGUGACGGCAAGCUAAUCUCUGAAAGCCGAUCUCAGUUCGGAUUGGAGGCUGCAACUCGCCUCCAUGAAGUCGGAAUCGCUAGUAAUCGCGGAUCAGCACGCCGCGGUGAAUACGUUCCCGGGCCUUGUACACACCGCCCGUCACACCACGAGAGUUUGUAACACCCGAAGUCGGUGAGGUAACCUUUUA
RNAcentral lists this ribosomal RNA (690 nucleotides) under uncultured bacterium. RNAcentral describes it as "bacterial SSU rRNA". It matches the Rfam family "Bacterial small subunit ribosomal RNA", at positions 755 to 1444 of the family's 1533-position model. The record is from RNAcentral.